UCCCUACGGGCGGCUGCAGUGGGGAAUAUUGGACAAUGGGGGCAACCCUGAUCCAGCCAUGCCGCGUGAGUGAUGAAGGCCUUCGGGUUGUAAAGCUCUUUUGGCGGGGACGAUGAUGACGGUACCCGCAGAAUAAGCCCCGGCUAACUUCGUGCCAGCAGCCGCGGUAAGACGAAGGGGGCUAGCGUUGUUCGGAAUUACUGGGCGUAAAGCGAGUGUAGGUGGUUGUCAUAGUCAGGUGUGAAAGCCUUGAGCUCAACUCAAGAAAUGCACUUUAUACUGGGCGACUAGAGGACCGGAGAGGAUAGUGGAAUUCCCAGUGUAGUGGUGAAAUACGUAGAGAUUGGGAAGAACACCAGUGGCGAAGGCGGCUAUCUGGACGGUUUCUGACACUAAGACUCGAAAGCGUGGGGAGCAAACAGGAUUAGAUACCCCAGUAGUCCU
This 444-nucleotide ribosomal RNA is filed under the name uncultured Rhodospirillaceae bacterium. Its description in RNAcentral is "bacterial SSU rRNA". It matches the Rfam family "Bacterial small subunit ribosomal RNA", at positions 335 to 797 of the family's 1533-position model. The record is from RNAcentral. Lineage: Bacteria; Pseudomonadati; Pseudomonadota; Alphaproteobacteria; Rhodospirillales; Rhodospirillaceae.